CCGUCAGACGUCGCUCAGCGCCGGAGAGGAUAAGGGUCGGCCGCUCGUCGUCGGAGAGGAGGAAGGAGGAGAGAAGCUUACCGUCGGACGUCGCUCGGCACCGGAGAGGACAAGAGUCGGCCGCUCGUCGUUGGAGAGGAGAGAGGAGGAGAGGAGCUAGGGCUAGCCUUGAUCGGGAUGCAGAAUGAGGAGGAGGGGAACGACCGCUAGGUUUUGAUGUCAAUUUUACUUCUGACGACGCGUAUCAGCAUCGUCUUAAGCCAUAGUCUACGAUGACGCUAGUUCAAAAAGCACCGACGCUUGGGAAAAGCGUCGGCAAAAAAGGAUCGUUACGGCACAAUUUUUCUGUAGUGACACCUGUAGGAAUAAGUUAGUAUCAGAGCCAGAUUCCUCUACAUUAAUGAGAGUAAGUUGGUACCAAAGCUAGAAAUUCUUCUUUCUCCCCAAUCGGAUUAGGUUGGUAUCAAAGCUCUAAUCCUCUAUAUCCAUGGGGGCCUCUAUUCAUGGUCCAAAUACAUGAACAACAAGCAAUCAAGAGAAGUUCUAUCCGUGCUUCAAGUACAUCAAAGGACAAAGACGAGUAUGGAUGCUAGUUCUUCCUCGAUGGAUAAUGAGACAAAGGGACGUCUCAUACAACUGGAGGAGAAGAUUGUCUAACUCACUAAGAUCAUCUUCAAAUUGGUGAUACCUUCAGCACAAGCACCAGCAACUCCUAUUGCCAAGUUGUUUCCUACAUCUCAAGAUGACAAUCUACCAUCCAGGAAGGAGGAUGGGAUAAGCAGCCUACAGGUACAAAAAAUAUCUCUCGUCAACCAUUUAAAGUUAAAGGUCAAAUCGAGAACAAUUAGCUAGACCAGUUGAGACAUACUUUACUGUUUAUAGAUACUCUAAUAUCCAAAAGAUAUCUUUUGCCAAUCUCAAGCUUCCUAGCAAUGAUCUUACCUGGUGGAAUUCGUACAUAAGGAAAACGACAUCUCAAAUCUAGCAUAGAAUAAAUUCAAGAGUCUAACCAAGUAGUUCUACCCAAUCAACCAUGAGAAGGAUCGGUGGAUCAAGCGACAGUACCUAUGACAUAUGAUCAGUCUGUCCAGAAGUACACUAUCCUGCAACAAGUUUGUGAUAAUAACCACCACCCACCCAAGGCAAUGCUCUUUCCCGCAACAUGGAAGGCAGCUGUGGGAUGCUCACUCUUAGGCUCUUAGGCACAAAAGACCAAGUGCUAGUUAUUGACAUAAGUUGGUUGAAAAGAAAAAU
This 1254-nucleotide long non-coding RNA is filed under the name Phoenix dactylifera (date palm). RNAcentral's name for it is "long non-coding RNA (PDAC_LNC015242)". The record is from RNAcentral. Lineage: Eukaryota; Viridiplantae; Streptophyta; Magnoliopsida; Arecales; Arecaceae.